CCCCACACUAACUUGGCAGAAUGCACUCUUUUUGCUGGGGAGAAAGAAGAGGGGAAGGAUGAUUACUCAGAGACUGCUCAAGUCACUCUGAGGUUGACAAACCUGAGGAAGUCAUCACUUCUUUAUCCUGUGCCUUGGAAUAAAGACAUAUGAAAUGAAACCACUCCAACUCUAAGCUUGGAGUCAAGUACGACCCAUUCAAAGUCAAACAGACAAGAUUAGGAAACCAAUGCGAACCUACAGACCAAAGACUAGAAGAAAAAAGAUUAACUGCUCCUUUUCCUCCACAUUCUUAAGGCCUUCUAAGAAAUUUCCUUCCCAAUUCACUUGGUAAGUGCCUGCUCAGGCUGUUAUUCUAUAAUGAAUUCAUGUCUUUUCUCCUAUUUUUCCUGUGCCGCCCUUGUUAUCUGGAGUCAGGAUUCUGAGCUCUGACUUCCCUCCUUGUCAUGUUGCCUGAGGAGAAUUGCAGACAGACCCUCAGACCUCAAAUAGUCUAGAUUUUGAAGACCCUGCUUUGGCUGAGAUGAGGCCAGCAUUGGAGUAGAAAUGCUGCUUGCUUCACUGAAGCUACAGGUAGAAGCUGACUACCAAAGGAGAAGGCUGAGGAGAAAUUGCUCCAUGAGAUAAGGCAAGACAUUUAUCCCUGAAUGCUGUCUCUCCAAAUGCACAGAAACAUGUCAUAAAGUGUGGGACUAGGGUCUCUAAAGGACAUGUAAUACCUCAUUUCUGGAGAUAUGGUCUAACAUGAAAGGGUCAUAAUCGAUGGUCAAGUCACAAAAUUUAUUUCUAGAGUCAUUUUACUAAAUAUGGAGAGAUCUGCAAAAAUUGUAUGCCUGGGGAAAAUCCCAAUCAGACCAACUGACCCAGACCAAUCAAUGACAACUCAGAGUAGUAAUGAAAAAUUCAUUUAGACUAACUCCCAUAAUUUGCUAAGAGGCACUGUACUAAGUAUAUAACACAAUAUCUCAUUGUGUGAUCCUUAUAAUAGCUCUAUGAGGUACAUGUCAUUCUUCCUAUUUUUUAGACAGAAAAGUCUCUGAUAAAUAACUUGUCCAAAGUCACGUAUUUACCACAUUUACCAGAGUUAUAACCCAAAUCGGUCUGACUCUAAAUGCUCUUAGCCAUUCAGUCCUACUGCAAAAUAAGCACACCAGUGGAGAGCAAUAGAGAAUGGGAACGCAGUCACAAUGGGAGCCUGUCAUUGGAUCUCAUGUAUGCAGAGGUUCCUUCUUCCAGGAGAGCUUUGCCCUUGUCCUCAUGAACUUUUAUGUCAAUACAUUCAAUGCACUGUAUUGGAUUUCUAGAUUGGGAGCUAAAAAAAGAACAGAUUUCUAAAUAUCAGCUAUCUUAUUUUACCAGCUUGCCUUAAACCAGUUACAGAAUAUCUCUAUUUAUAAUUAUUUUUACCUAAAAAUAGGAAUAAAACUACUCUUCAAUAUGUGAUUUUUAAAAAGGAUGAUAAAAUCAAAGGAAUUUAGAAUAAUCCUUGCACAUAGUGGGCACUUAGAAACUUUUGCUUCCUUAUUGACUCCCUUCUCCUUACAUUUCAAUCUUGUUCCAUGUCUCAUGGCCUCUUCAGAGCAGAGACUAUGUAGUAUUUACCUUCAUAUCUUCAGACAAAAUGCUUAGCAUAUAGUCGGUGGUCAGUUACUGGAAAUGAUUUAAAGACAUUGAGAAUUACUUCCUUUGAAAUUUUAAGAGGUGUGGUAAAACUUUGGUUUCAGAAUAUAUCUUUAUUGAUUUUUUAAAUAUGUAUUUUUCUUAUAUAUUAUGGUCAACCUCUUGGGAUCUUUAGAAAAGAACAUUUUCCAGUUUUUUUGAAUCUCGGGCCAAGAGAAUUAGAACACUCCAUAAAAUUACACAGGUAUAUCUGAUAAAGGCCAUACUCUAUUUUUCCAUAUAAGUAUAAAACUGUUGUAUAAAAAAUUACCUUCUGGCCAGGUGUAGUGGCUCACACCUGUAAUUUCAGCACUUUGGGAGGCCAAGGCAUGCAGAUCACUUGAGGCCAGGAGUUCAAGGCCAGCCUGGCCAACAUGGCGAAACCCCCCUCUACUAAAAUACAAAUAUUAGCUGGGCCUGGUGGCACGUGCCUGUAAUCCUAGCUACUGUGGAGGCUGAGGUGGGAGAAUUGCUUGAACCCAGGAGGCGGAGGUUGAAGUGAGCCAAGAUCAUGCCACUGCACUCUAGCCUGGGCAACAGAGCAAGACUCUGUCUCAAAUAUAUAAAUAAAUAAAUUACCUUGUAAAAUAUUAUCCUCUUCCCUCAAAUAUAUACAGUAAAAGAUGUCUGUCUAAUAUUAUAAUAUAUUUUGUUUAGCAAAAAUACAUUAGUCAGUUAUUUAUCUUAAAUUUCCUUUAUCCUCCUGAGUCUAACAUGUUUAUUUUUAUACUGGACUUUGGUCUAUCCAUUUCACAUAUGGGUCAACUAUUUCCUAUACAGAUAGUUUAGUUAUCUGUUAGCUGCAUAGCAACCUAAUCCCAAAAUAGUGUUUUAACAUUUCUUCACCAUCGCUGAGUUGUCUGGACUCAGCUGAAUGGUUGUUCUGCUUCCUAUGAUGUCAGCGAGGGCUAUAGUCAUGUGAGGUCAUACGUGGCCUACAACAUCCAAGAUGGCUGCCUCCUAUAACUGGCAACGGAUGUAAGCUGUUGGUUGAGAAAUGCUAGUAAGCAGGUCUCCUAAGUUUUCCUCCACAUGACCUCUCCAUGUGGCUGGUUUCUGAGAAGGAGUACCCAAAGAGUGAACAUUUCAAGAGAAGGAAGCAGAAGCUAAAGGUCCCUUAAGGCCUCCUUUCUGUGCAUUCAGUUGCUCAAAGGCCAGCCCAGAUUCAAAGGAGGAGAAAUAAACACUCCUGUUGAUCUGAUGUGCAUUAAAGAGAAGAAAUUAGUGAGUCAUUUUUAAAGACUGAUCAUUAAAUAUAGUUACCCUGUUAUAUUUUUUCAUAAAUGAUUUCCUUCUCCAUUCUACCCCUAUAAAUUUUUCUCUAUAUGUGAGAAUUUAAAAUCUGUGGUUUCUUUCUAUGUACUAAUCUACACAUAGUUGUGUUUAUUAUUUGUCUUUGAUGAAUAUAUUAUAUGAUACUGAAAGCCUG
RNAcentral lists this long non-coding RNA (3088 nucleotides) under Homo sapiens (human). RNAcentral describes it as "HSALNT0075723". The record is from RNAcentral. Lineage: Eukaryota; Metazoa; Chordata; Mammalia; Primates; Hominidae.